RNAcentral lists this ribosomal RNA (734 nucleotides) under Escherichia coli. RNAcentral's name for it is "partial 23S ribosomal RNA". It matches the Rfam family "Bacterial large subunit ribosomal RNA", at positions 2188 to 2916 of the family's 2925-position model. The record is from RNAcentral. Lineage: Bacteria; Pseudomonadati; Pseudomonadota; Gammaproteobacteria; Enterobacterales; Enterobacteriaceae.
GACCUUGAAAUACCACCCUUUAAUGUUUGAUGUUCUAACGUUGACCCGUAAUCCGGGUUGCGGACAGUGUCUGGUGGGUAGUUUGACUGGGGCGGUCUCCUCCUAAAGAGUAACGGAGGAGCACGAAGGUUGGCUAAUCCUGGUCGGACAUCAGGAGGUUAGUGCAAUGGCAUAAGCCAGCUUGACUGCGAGCGUGACGGCGCGAGCAGGUGCGAAAGCAGGUCAUAGUGAUCCGGUGGUUCUGAAUGGAAGGGCCAUCGCUCAACGGAUAAAAGGUACUCCGGGGAUAACAGGCUGAUACCGCCCAAGAGUUCAUAUCGACGGCGGUGUUUGGCACCUCGAUGUCGGCUCAUCACAUCCUGGGGCUGAAGUAGGUCCCAAGGGUAUGGCUGUUCGCCAUUUAAAGUGGUACGCGAGCUGGGUUUAGAACGUCGUGAGACAGUUCGGUCCCUAUCUGCCGUGGGCGCUGGAGAACUGAGGGGGGCUGCUCCUAGUACGAGAGGACCGGAGUGGACGCAUCACUGGUGUUCGGGUUGUCAUGCCAAUGGCACUGCCCGGUAGCUAAAUGCGGAAGAGAUAAGUGCUGAAAGCAUCUAAGCACGAAACUUGCCCCGAGAUGAGUUCUCCCUGACCCUUUAAGGGUCCUGAAGGAACGUUGAAGACGACGACGUUGAUAGGCCGGGUGUGUAAGCGCAGCGAUGCGUUGAGCUAACCGGUACUAAUGAACCGUGAGG